RNAcentral lists this long non-coding RNA (796 nucleotides) under Homo sapiens (human). Its description in RNAcentral is "long non-coding RNA NONHSAT200454.1". Lineage: Eukaryota; Metazoa; Chordata; Mammalia; Primates; Hominidae. The record is from RNAcentral.
CCCUGACUGACCCAGCCCCGCCACGUCCAAGGUUCCCGCCCUCUGGAGGAAGCCGCGCAAUCACUCCGGGGGCGGGGAGAGACAGACAACUGAGAGGAAGGAGGUACCACGGGCACUCUCUCGCGAGAGGGCCGCAGAGCCGCCUUUGACGGGGGCGUGUACCUGGAGAGCAACGGUAAGGACGGAGCCGACGGCUCCGGCGUCGGGUCGGUUCCGGCAUCGACGUAUCGUUUGGUCGCCCCAGAGAGGAGACAGGUUUCUUCAGCUUGCCGCUGAGGAUGUGGCAUCGGCUGCGCUCACCGCCGCCGCCUCUGUGAACUGCGGGAGUUGGGACAGCGGCCAGGGCUAGAUGGGUGGGACGCGAGUCCUCGCCGAAAGCUUGCCCUGUGCGGGGCGCACUUGGAGGCGAGCUCUGGGCCGUGGCGAGUUUUGCAGCCUAAGGUCUUGGCAGGCGCAUUGCUGUGGGCUGCCGGAGAGCAGGCUGGAGUUCGAGACCGCCCACCGGAGAGCAGGCGAGAGUUCGAGGCCUAGUGACAUCUGUUUGAGCAGAUGAAUAUGCCAUUGGGAAAGUCAAGGACUGUCGGAGAGGAGGACAUGGCAGACCUUAACUAAAGUGAGGGGGACAGUAGAGCACUAAAAGUUCUAGGAAAGGAGAUGAACUGCUUAUUCCAUCAGAUGAAAAUAUAGUCAGAACAGAUGAGUAGUAGAACUUAAACAUGCCCGGAGUUGCCAGGAAUUUGCAAAAGCCUUGAUAUAAUUCCUGUUGCUGUAGAAAGACUUUCUACAGUCACUAAUA